This 487-nucleotide ribosomal RNA is filed under the name uncultured bacterium. Its description in RNAcentral is "bacterial SSU rRNA". It matches the Rfam family "Bacterial small subunit ribosomal RNA", at positions 30 to 521 of the family's 1533-position model. The record is from RNAcentral.
AUUGAACGCUGGCGGCAUGCUUUACACAUGCAAGUCGAACGGCAGCACGGGUGCUUGCACCUGGUGGCGAGUGGCGGACGGGUGAGUAAUGCAUCGGAACGUGUCCUAAAGUGGGGGAUAACGCAUCGAAAGAUGUGCUAAUACCGCAUAUUCUCUGAGGAGGAAAGUAGGGGAUCGAAAGACCUUAUGCUUUUGGAGCGGCCGAUGUCUGAUUAGCUAGUUGGUAGGGUAAUGGUUUACCAAGGCGACGAUCAGUAGUUGGUCUGAGAGGACGACCAGCCACACUGGGACUGAGACACGGCCCAGACUCCUACGGGAGGCAGCAGUGGGGAAUAUUGCGCGAUGGGCGAAAGCCUGACGCAGCCAUGCCGCGUGAGUGAUGAAGGCCCUCGGGUCGUAAAGCUCUGUCGGGAGGGACGAAGGGUGGCAACACUCUGACGGUACCUCGCAAGAAAGCACCGGCUAACUCCGUGCCAGCAGCCGCGGU